RNAcentral lists this transfer RNA (95 nucleotides) under Vitis riparia x Vitis cinerea. RNAcentral's name for it is "trnS-AGA". It matches the Rfam family "tRNA". From Rfam's summary of the family: Transfer RNA (tRNA) molecules are approximately 80 nucleotides in length. Their secondary structure includes four short double-helical elements and three loops (D, anti-codon, and T loops). Lineage: Eukaryota; Viridiplantae; Streptophyta; Magnoliopsida; Vitales; Vitaceae. The record is from RNAcentral.
CGCUUGGAUGCUGGGGAGAUCCAUAGAUCUGGAUAGAGGUUAGAGCAAAGGACUGAAAAUCCUUGUGUCAGUGGUUCGAAUCCACUUCUAAGCGG